Molecule: transfer RNA, 72 nt
Filed under: Toxocara canis (dog roundworm)
Lineage: Eukaryota; Metazoa; Nematoda; Chromadorea; Rhabditida; Toxocaridae
Rfam family: tRNA
About the family: Transfer RNA (tRNA) molecules are approximately 80 nucleotides in length. Their secondary structure includes four short double-helical elements and three loops (D, anti-codon, and T loops).
Source: Rfam by way of RNAcentral
CCAGCAAUAGCUCAGUGGUAGAGCUUUCGCCUUUUAUGCGAAGAGACCCGGGUUCGACUGCCGGCUGCUUUG